This 1502-nucleotide ribosomal RNA is filed under the name Helicobacter pylori G27. Its description in RNAcentral is "bacterial SSU rRNA". It matches the Rfam family "Bacterial small subunit ribosomal RNA". The record is from RNAcentral. Lineage: Bacteria; Pseudomonadati; Campylobacterota; Epsilonproteobacteria; Campylobacterales; Helicobacteraceae.
UUUAUGGAGAGUUUGAUCCUGGCUCAGAGUGAACGCUGGCGGCGUGCCUAAUACAUGCAAGUCGAACGAUGAAGCUUCUAGCUUGCUAGAAUGCUGAUUAGUGGCGCACGGGUGAGUAACGCAUAGGUCAUGUGCCUCUUAGUUUGGGAUAGCCAUUGGAAACGAUGAUUAAUACCAGAUACUCCCUACGGGGGAAAGAUUUAUCGCUAAGAGAUCAGCCUAUGUCCUAUCAGCUUGUUGGUAAGGUAAUGGCUUACCAAGGCUAUGACGGGUAUCCGGCCUGAGAGGGUGAACGGACACACUGGAACUGAGACACGGUCCAGACUCCUACGGGAGGCAGCAGUAGGGAAUAUUGCUCAAUGGGGGAAACCCUGAAGCAGCAACGCCGCGUGGAGGAUGAAGGUUUUAGGAUUGUAAACUCCUUUUGUUAGAGAAGAUAAUGACGGUAUCUAACGAAUAAGCACCGGCUAACUCCGUGCCAGCAGCCGCGGUAAUACGGAGGGUGCAAGCGUUACUCGGAAUCACUGGGCGUAAAGAGCGCGUAGGCGGGAUAGUCAGUCAGGUGUGAAAUCCUAUGGCUUAACCAUAGAACUGCAUUUGAAACUACUAUUCUAGAGUGUGGGAGAGGUAGGUGGAAUUCUUGGUGUAGGGGUAAAAUCCGUAGAGAUCAAGAGGAAUACUCAUUGCGAAGGCGACCUGCUGGAACAUUACUGACGCUGAUUGCGCGAAAGCGUGGGGAGCAAACAGGAUUAGAUACCCUGGUAGUCCACGCCCUAAACGAUGGAUGCUAGUUGUUGGAGGGCUUAGUCUCUCCAGUAAUGCAGCUAACGCAUUAAGCAUCCCGCCUGGGGAGUACGGUCGCAAGAUUAAAACUCAAAGGAAUAGACGGGGACCCGCACAAGCGGUGGAGCAUGUGGUUUAAUUCGAAGAUACACGAAGAACCUUACCUAGGCUUGACAUUGAGAGAAUCCGCUAGAAAUAGUGGAGUGUCUGGCUUGCCAGACCUUGAAAACAGGUGCUGCACGGCUGUCGUCAGCUCGUGUCGUGAGAUGUUGGGUUAAGUCCCGCAACGAGCGCAACCCCCUUUCUUAGUUGCUAACAGGUCAUGCUGAGAACUCUAAGGAUACUGCCUCCGUAAGGAGGAGGAAGGUGGGGACGACGUCAAGUCAUCAUGGCCCUUACGCCUAGGGCUACACACGUGCUACAAUGGGGUGCACAAAGAGAAGCAAUACUGCGAAGUGGAGCCAAUCUUCAAAACACCUCUCAGUUCGGAUUGUAGGCUGCAACUCGCCUGCAUGAAGCUGGAAUCGCUAGUAAUCGCAAAUCAGCCAUGUUGCGGUGAAUACGUUCCCGGGUCUUGUACUCACCGCCCGUCACACCAUGGGAGUUGUGUUUGCCUUAAGUCAGGAUGCUAAAUUGGCUACUGCCCACGGCACACACAGCGACUGGGGUGAAGUCGUAACAAGGUAACCGUAGGUGAACCUGCGGUUGGAUCACCUCCU